AGCUAAUAGAUACCCAGGUAGUCCACGCCCUAAACGAUGUCUACUAGUUGUUGGUGGAGUAAAAUCCAUGAGUAAACGCAGCUAACGCGUGAAGUAGACCGCCUGGGGAGUACGGUCGCAAGAUUAAAACUCAAAGGAAUUGACGGGGGCCCGGCACAAGCGGUGGAUUAUGUGGAUUAAUUCGAUGCAACGCGAAAACCUUAACCUGGCCUUGACAUGCCACUAACGAAGCAGAGAUGCAUUAGGUGCCCGUAACGGGAAAGGUGGACACAGGUGCUGCACGGCUGUCGUCAGCUCGUGUCGUGAGAUGUUGGGUUAAGUCCCGCAACGAGCGCAACCCUUGCCAUUAAAUUGCCAUCAUUUAGUUGGGCACUUUAAUGGGACUGCCGGUGACAAACCGGAGGAAGGUGGGGAUGACGUCAAGUCCUCAUGGCCCUUAUGGCCAGGGGCUUCACACGUAAUACAAUGGUCGGUACAGAGAGUUGCCAACCCGCGAGGGGUAGCUAAUCUCAGAAAGCCGAUCGUAGUCCGGACUGUUCUCUGC
This 544-nucleotide ribosomal RNA is filed under the name uncultured bacterium. RNAcentral describes it as "bacterial SSU rRNA". It matches the Rfam family "Bacterial small subunit ribosomal RNA", at positions 767 to 1308 of the family's 1533-position model. The record is from RNAcentral.